GCGUUUGUGGAAGAAGCUCGUACCGGGAUGCUGCGGGAGCGAUCGGCGCUCGGGGCCGGAGUCCCGGCCCGGCGGCUGCUCCCGGCGCUGCGCCGAGCUCGGGGCGCUGAGCGGGGACGGCACCGGCACCGGGGGACCGAGGCUGGCUUGGAGCUGCGAUGGGGUUCGGCAGCGGUACGGGGAUCGGCAUCGCCGGAGUCGCUGCGGGGUGGGCGCUGGGGCCGAGCUCGGCAGGGCCGCUCGGGCCGGGGCUCUGCCGGGGCCCGGUUGGGGGAGAACGGCGGCGCUUUCCUCGUACAGACGCGGAACCCGGGCCGGGACCGGCCGGGGCGCGGGGACACGCCGGGCCGGCCCCGGGACCCCCCGAUCCCGCCGGGCCCGCAGCGCCGCCCGCACCCCCCGCGGGAUCGGAGCUCCUCCCUCUCGGGCACCCCCGAGGCCAUCGCACCCCCUCCCGAAGAACAUCGCCCGCCUCCCUCUUCCCCGCGGCCCCAGGAGGUUCCCGCUCGCAGGGCCCCCCGGGAACGAGGGCUCUGGGGCCCGCCGGGGCUCCGGCCACGGACCCGCUCCGGCCGCGGGGAGCCGGGGCCCUGCCGGGGCAGGGAAGAACGGGGGCGGCCGCUCCCUCGUUCCUCCCGUGCUCCGGGACCCCGAGCAGAGCUGCCCGUCUGUCCCCGCGUCCCUUUGUCUGUCCUCAGGCGGCCCCAGGAGCCGGCGCUGACCGUGCCGCGGCUCGGGCACAGGCUGCUCCCAGCUCUGCCUGCGGAACUUCGGCAAUUGCCCCCAGCAGUUCUUUGCCCUGCCAUCCAGAAGGUGCGGCUCCUCUGACACCUGCCAGACGGGGAAGGUCCUGCCUGGGAGGGAAACGGCUACAGCAGAGGAAACCAAGAAACGCUCCAACCGGACGCUGCCGCGCGAGGCAAAGGAGGGAAGGACCGCAGGCAAGUACAGUCAGGAAAUCCGCUUUUAUUAAAUCUCUGCAGCAUUAAAUCCCCCCUUCCCAGCCACGGGCCGGAGGGAGCGCGGCCGGCUGGGCUGUGCCCGGCUGGGGACGGGCACCAAUUCAUCACUGCCCUGCUCAGGGAGGUUUGCCGGCCGUGUCCGGGAUUCACCCAACGGCUGCAAAGGUGCUCGUGUGACUUCCGAGCUCAUUUCCAGAGAUAAAGGAGCCAAACGAGUCCGGAGGGAUCCCUCGCUCCGAAGCAAAGGCGUCGGUCGAGUGUCGCCGCCUGGUCCCGCCUGCGGGGGGGCGUCUCCUCCAGUUUCCCAGGGAGAAGAACAGGAACUCACAGCCACCAAGGCCUGACAGUCCCCUGCAGCCAGAGCUCAGCACACAGCCAGUCAGGCAAUUCCAGCAUCUAAAAGGAAAAAAAAAGAACAAAAAAAGGGCUGCUCCGACCCAGCUCUGAAGCUGCCAAGCCCAAACUGUCCCCGGCGCUCUGGAACAACAGGAUCUUCCCAGGGAUGAUGCACUGGAAGCACAGCCCUCAUUCUCACCCUCCACACGCUCCCAGGCUCACCCCAAAUUCAGGACAAGGGGCCAAAGGCCACUCGGGCCGGGGCUCUCUCUGUCUCUGCGGGCUCAGGGACUGCAGCCACCAGGGCCCUCCAGCACGGACAGCCUGGACCCAGAGCAGAUCCCUGGGCAUUGGCAGUGUCCUGGGCACACCUGGAGACAGAAACCAUCAGCCUCUGGGGACAGCACUUCAUUGCCAGCACACACAGCCUGCCACAUUUAGGGGGGCAGCUCUCGGAGCACAAAGCCCAGUCUGACCCAGUUCUCCUGGGCACCAACACGGACUCCACAGACCCACAGGAAUGAGAAUGUUCUGCUGCUUUGACAAACUUCAGCCCAGCUUUGCAAACCUCAGUCCCUGCAGCUCCUGCUCUCCAGAGCCCCGUUCAGGGCUGGCUCCAGUUCCCUGGAGAACCUGCCCCAGCCCCACUCUGGGCCAGCCUGAGCAGAAGCCACUGGGCUGCACAAGGAAGAACCCUCCCCUGGCUGCUGCAGCUGGAGGGAGAUCCAGCUCCCAAUGGAACCCUGGCAACAGCCUCCCAGAGGGUCUCUCCCCAGCCCUUGGCAGUGGCUCAGGAUGGCAGCAGCUCCAGUGCCAGCUGGGUCCCUGCACGAGUCCUUGUCCCAGCCCUGCCCCACGGACACACACGGGAGACACCCACGGGCACACAGGCCUUGCUUGCACAAUUCCUCACCCACAGCUGAGGGAAAGCCACACAAUAGUAAGAAAUAACCUGGGCUGAGAGCACUCAUCACUCCAGUCCAUCAGGACUUGGAGGCAGUUGGGUAGGCAACAGACCCAAAUUCUAAUCCUACCUCUACAUUU
RNA transcript from Pipra filicauda (Wire-tailed manakin), 2342 nucleotides. It is a transcript of the gene named collagen alpha-1(I) chain-like, with no coding region annotated. The transcript is spliced from 4 exons. NCBI's taxonomy places the organism in Eukaryota, Metazoa, Chordata, Aves, Passeriformes, Pipridae. The record is from RefSeq and is a predicted model, not a curated record.